AGCGAACGCUGGCGGCAGGCUUAACACAUGCAAGUCGAACGGGCCUCCUCGGACGUUAGUGGCAGACGGGUGAGUAACACGUGGGAACGUGCCCUUCGGUUCGGAAUAACUCAGGGAAACUUGAGCUAAUACCGGAUACGCCCUUUUGGGGAAAGGUUUACUGCCGAAGGAUCGGCCCGCGUCUGAUUUGCUUGUUGGUGGGGUAACGGCCUACCAAGGCGACGAUCAGUAGCUGGUCUGAGAGGAUGAUCAGCCACACUGGGACUGAGACACGGCCCAGACUCCUACGGAAGGCAGCAGUGGGGAAUAUUGGACAAUGGGCGCAAGCCUGAUCCAGCCAUGCCGCGUGAGUGAGGAAGGCCUUAGGGUUGUAAAGCUCUUUUGUCCGGGACGAUAAUGACGGUACCGGAAGAAUAAGCCCCGGCUAACUUCGUG
This 435-nucleotide ribosomal RNA is filed under the name uncultured bacterium. RNAcentral's name for it is "partial 16S ribosomal RNA". It matches the Rfam family "Bacterial small subunit ribosomal RNA", at positions 29 to 507 of the family's 1533-position model. The record is from RNAcentral.